GGAUACGUUGGAUAAAUGUAGAGAUUAUUUAAAUCCAAUUAAAAAGAUAUGGAGGAUAAAAUAAGUAAAUAAAAUAAAUAGAAGAGCAUGAAAUAAGAAUAGAUCAAAUUGAAGUGCAGACUGAAACGAACGACAGCCACGUGUGAGGUGGGUCUAAUCGAUCGAGAGGAAGGGUCAGAUCACGUGCAGCGAUAGCGAUGACGAAAAACGAGCAAAUACCCUCGGUGAAUCAAACUUUCAUUGAUCUACUGGCAGCAAACGCUAGUUCUCCUGCGCAACAUCGACACUUUCAGGUCUUUUCACUUUCCAAUAUAACUCCAGCGACUUUAUUUUGGACAAAUCUCGGACGUAUGAGGGUUAAUCAUGGUGGUCGUGACAUAAGGACAGAUGAAAUAUAAUAGAGAGGAAGAGAAAGAGAAAAAGGAAGAGAGUCCCUCUUCCUACCGGCACUUGCGUCGUCUGUCUUUGCCGCACACUGGAUCCUCUCUUCCUAGCAUCGCUCGUCGUGUCUGUCUUCGUCGUACACUGUAGCUCUCCUUGUUUGGGGUCCAGUCAUGUCAGGCCAUCUAUCGGAGAACGAGAGAACUGAAAUUUGAAGCAUGUACGCAUAGACGGCAGGACAUAGUUUGUCCAACACACGUUUCAAACCAAAGAGCUCGAUUUUUGCGUUCGGACGUGCCACGUUCUGCCAUCUAUGCAUGAUCGUUCCAAAUUUCAGUUCCCUCACCAUGUACUAGAUGACACUGCAUAAUUUGAUCGCUGAGGAGGAGUGGAAUAGAUUAAUUUUUUGUACUUAUAAUUUAAUUUAAUUGCGAUUAGGAUUAUUCUUCGUGUUUCUCGUUUCUGUACUUUGGUUUAAAGCUUCUCAACGUUGCUCCUCGUUUAAGCGUUGCGCUUGGUCACUCUAGGAUCGCUGAUCUAGGAUAGUUGAUUAACUAUAGUUUUUAUUGUUUAUUAAGG
This 960-nucleotide unclassified non-coding RNA is filed under the name Bombus terrestris (buff-tailed bumblebee). RNAcentral's name for it is "misc RNA ENSBTSG00005025699.1". The record is from RNAcentral. Lineage: Eukaryota; Metazoa; Arthropoda; Insecta; Hymenoptera; Apidae.